GAUGAACGCUAGCUACAGGCUUAACACAUGCAAGUCGAGGGGUAACGAGAGGAAAGCUUGCUUUCCUUGUCGACGACCGGCGCACGGGUGAGUAACGCGUAUCCAACCUGCCCCCAACUAGGGAAUAACCUCGCGAAAGUAAGACUAAUACCCUAUAAUUUCCUCAGAUGACAUCUGACGAGGAAUAAAGAUUUAUCGGUUGUGUAUGGGGAUGCGUCUGAUUAGCUCGGUGGCGGGGUAAAGGCCCACCAAGGCAACGAUCAGUAGGGGUUCUGGGAGGAAGGUCCCCCACAUUGGAACUGAGACACGGUCCAAACUCCUACGGGAGGCAGCAGUGAGGAAUAUUGGUCAAUGGGCGGAAGCCUGAACCAGCCAAGUAGCGUGCAGGAUGACGGCCCUAUGGGUUGUAAACUGCUUUUAUACAGGAAUAAAGUUAGCCACGUGUGGUUAUUUGUAGGUACUGUAUGAAUAAGGACCGGCUAAUUCCGUGCCAGCCGCCGCCGUAA
This 506-nucleotide ribosomal RNA is filed under the name uncultured bacterium. Its description in RNAcentral is "partial 16S ribosomal RNA". It matches the Rfam family "Bacterial small subunit ribosomal RNA", at positions 28 to 523 of the family's 1533-position model. The record is from RNAcentral.